AUUGAACGCUGGCGGCAGGCCUAACACAUGCAAGUCGAACGGUAGCACAGAGAGCUUGCUCUUGGGUGACGAGUGGCGGACGGGUGAGUAAUGUCUGGGAAACUGCCUGAUGGAGGGGGAUAACUACUGGAAACGGUAGCUAAUACCGCAUAACGUCGCAAGACCAAAGAGGGGGACCUUCGGGCCUCUUGCCAUCAGAUGUGCCCAGAUGGGAUUAGCUAGUAGGUGGGGUAACGGCUCACCUAGGCGACGAUCCCUAGCUGGUCUGAGAGGAUGACCAGCCACACUGGAACUGAGACACGGUCCAGACUCCUACGGAGGCAGCAGUGGGGAAUAUUGCACAAUGGGCGCAAGCCUGAUGCAGCCAUGCCGCGUGUAUGAAGAAGGCCUU
Molecule: ribosomal RNA, 391 nt
Filed under: uncultured bacterium
Lineage: Bacteria
Description: bacterial SSU rRNA
Rfam family: Bacterial small subunit ribosomal RNA
Source: RNAcentral